This 1554-nucleotide ribosomal RNA is filed under the name uncultured bacterium. RNAcentral describes it as "bacterial SSU rRNA". It matches the Rfam family "Bacterial small subunit ribosomal RNA". The record is from RNAcentral.
AGAGUUUGAUCCUGGCUCAGGACGAACGCUGGCGGCGUGCCUAAUACAUGCAAGUCGAACGCUUCUUUCCUCCCGAGUGCUUGCACUCAAUUGGAAAGAGGAGUGGCGGACGGGUGAGUAACACGUGGGUAACCUACCCAUCAGAGGGGGAUAACACUUGGAAACAGGUGCUAAUACCGCAUAACAGUUUAUGCCGCAUGGCAUAAGAGUGAAAGGCGCUUUCGGGUGUCGCUGAUGGAUGGACCCGCGGUGCAUUAGCUAGUUGGUGAGGUAACGGCUCACCAAGGCGACGAUGCAUAGCCGACCUGAGAGGGUGAUCGGCCACACUGGGACUGAGACACGGCCCAGACUCCUACGGGAGGCAGCAGUAGGGAAUCUUCGGCAAUGGACGAAAGUCUGACCGAGCAACGCCGCGUGAGUGAAGAAGGUUUUCGGAUCGUAAAACUCUGUUGUUAGAGAGAACAAGGACGUUAGUAACUGAACGUCCCCUGACGGUAUCUAACCAGAAAGCCACGGCUAACUACGUGCCAGCAGCCGCGGUAAUACGUAGGUGGCAAGCGUUGUCCGGAUUUAUUGGGCGUAAAGCGAGCGCAGGCGGUUUCUUAAGUCUGAUGUGAAAGCCCCCGGCUCAACCGGGGGGGGUCAUUGGAAACUGGGAGACUUGAGUGCAGAAGAGGAGAGUGGAAUUCCAUGUGUAGCGGUGAAAUGCGUAGAUAUAUGGAGGAACACCAGUGGCGAAGGCGGCUCUCUGGUCUGUAACUGACGCUGAGGCUCGAAAGCGUGGGGAGCAAACAGGAUUAGAUACCCUGGUAGUCCACGCCGUAAACGAUGAGUGCUAAGUGUUGGAGGGUUUCCGCCCUUCAGUGCUGCAGCAAACGCAUUAAGCACUCCGCCUGGGGAGUACGACCGCAAGGUUGAAACUCAAAGGAAUUGACGGGGGCCCGCACAAGCGGUGGAGCAUGUGGUUUAAUUCGAAGCAACGCGAGAACCUUACCAGGUCUUGACAUCCUUUGACCACUCUAGAGAUAGAGCUUUCCCUUCGGGGACAAAGUGACAGGUGGUGCAUGGUUGUCGUCAGCUCGUGUCGUGAGAUGUUGGGUUAAGUCCCGCAACGAGCGCAACCCUUAUUGUUAGUUGCCAUCAUUUAGUUGGGCACUCUAGCGAGACUGCCGGUGACAAACCGGAGGAAGGUGGGGAUGACGUCAAAUCAUCAUGCCCCUUAUGACCUGGGCUACACACGUGCUACAAUGGGAAGUACAACGAGUCGCUAGACCGCGAGGUCAUGCAAAUCUCUUAAAGCUUCUCUCAGUUCGGAUUGCAGGCUGCAACUCGCCUGCAUGAAGCCGGAAUCGCUAGUAAUCGCGGAUCAGCACGCCGCGGUGAAUACGUUCCCGGGCCUUGUACACACCGCCCGUCACACCACGAGAGUUUGUAACACCCGAAGUCGGUGAGGUAACCUUUUUGGAGCCAGCCGCCUAAGGUGGGAUAGAUGAUUGGGGUGAAGUCGUAACAAGGUAGCCGUAUCGAAGGGUGCGGCUGGAUCACCUCCUUUCU